This 2376-nucleotide ribosomal RNA is filed under the name Triticum aestivum (bread wheat). RNAcentral describes it as "partial small subunit ribosomal RNA". The record is from RNAcentral. Lineage: Eukaryota; Viridiplantae; Streptophyta; Magnoliopsida; Poales; Poaceae.
AUGGCGCCGGCCCGCAAGCGGAGGUCCGCCGACGAGCCGCCGCUCGUCGUGACCGAGCGCGCGACAAGGGGGCGUCCGCCCAGGGAGGAUGGCGACCCCGAGUUCGUCGGGGACCCCAUCCCCGCCGACGAAGCUCGGGCCAAGUUUCCCCACCGCUACCACCGCCAGCGCAGAAAUGGGGAGGAGGAGGAGGAGGUGAAGGCGCGCUGCCAUUACUGGGCAGCCAAGGUGGAAGGAAUCGUCUAUAACCUCCGUGACGAUGUGUAUGUAGUGGCAGAGGAAGGAAAGCCCCAUUUCAUUGGUAGAAUCACCGAACUUUUUGAGGGAACAGACCACGUCAAGUACUUCAACUGCCGUUGGUUCUUCCGAUCGGAGGACACGGUGAUCUCGACCGCGAAAUUGGUUGAUGAUCAUAGUCAUGAUCCCAAGCGGGUCUUCCUCUCUGACGAGAGGAACGACAACCCGCUUGACUGUAUUGUGUCCAAGGUUAAAAUACUGCAAGUCGAUCCCAAGCUUGAUCUGGAAGCAAAAGCCCAACUAGCGGCUGACAGCGAUCUGUACUACGACAUGUCGUACACUGUGCCCUACUCUACCUUUGAAAAUAUCACAAAUGAUAUAAAUGAAAUUUCAGGGAUUUCUUCGGAUGCUGAUUCGGAGGUUGACACCUCUGUGGCAACUGCAACGCUACUUGACCUUUAUUCUGGUUGCGGUGGCAUGUCCACUGGAUUGUGCUUGGGCGCUGCACUAGCUGGAUUGAAACUUGAGACGAGGUGGGCUGUUGAUUUUAACAGCUACGCGUGCAAUAGCUUGAAGUCCAACCAUCCCAAGACCGAGGUGCGGAACGAGAAGGCGGAUGAUUUUCUAUCUCUUUUAAAAGAAUGGGCAGUUCUAUGUGACCAAUAUGUCCAUGGUAAUAAUGCUGAGGCACCUCCUCCGAUGGACGAUGAGGAGGAAGAGGGUGAACUCGAAAAGGACGAAUAUGUCGUGCAAAAACUCACUGAUAUCUGCUAUGGUGGCAUUGAUAGGAAAAGUUGCAUUUAUUUCAAAGUGCAAUGGAAGGGAUAUGGUCCCGAAGAGGAUACCUGGGAGCCCAUUAAAAACCUUAGUGACUGCCCUUUAAAAAUAAAGGAGUUUGUUCAAGAAGGCCACAUGCGAAAAGUAUUACCACUGCCUGGUGAUGUAGAUGUCUUGUGUGGGGGGCCACCUUGUCAAGGGAUAAGCGGGUUAAAUCGGUUCAGAAACCGUGACGACCCACUAAAUGAUGAUAAGAAUAGGCAGCUGGUCACUUUUAUGAACAUCGUUUCCUAUUUGCGGCCGAAGUUCGUUUUGAUGGAAAAUGUGGUGGAUAUACUGCAAUUUGCCGAAGGAUAUCUAGGUAGGUAUGCGUUGAGCCGGUUGGUGGCUAUGAACUACCAGUCUCGGCUGGGUAUUAUGUUAGCAGGUUGUUACGGGCUUCCACAGUUCCGCAUGCGCACCUUCCUAUGGGGUGCCCUCACUACAAUGGUGCUCCCAAAACAUCCUCUCCCCACGCAUAAUGUUGUUAUACGAGGCGGGGCGCCGAAUGCAUUCACGCAAAGCGUUGUGGCAUAUGACGAAAUUCAAAAUCCAACCUUGAAGAAUGCCUUGGUCCUUGAAGAUGCGAUCUCAGAUUUACCGAAGGUUGGUAACGAUCAAGCUGAUGACGUACUUGAAUACCUUGUGAAACCAAAGACAGAAUUUCAGCGCUACAUUCGUCUUAGCCGUAAAGAAAUGUUGGACUACUCAUUCGGUGAUAAAACCGGUCCUGGAGAAGGCAAGCUAAUGGAUCACUGUCCUCUGAAGUUGAAUAAAGAUGAUUACGAGCGCGUUAAGCGAAUACCAUUUGAGAAGGGAGCCAACUUCCGUGACCUGGAAGGUGUAAGAGUAGGGCCAAACAACGUCGCUGAGUUUGACCCUGAGAUUCCACGAGUUUACCUUGAGUCUGGCAAUCCAUUGGUCCCUGAAUAUGCAAUCAAGUUCAGGAGUGGCAAAUCUCUCAGGCCGUUUGGACGAUUGUGGUGGGAUGAGACGGUUCCUACAGUGGUAACCAGUGCAAACCCACACAGCCAGAGAAUACUACACCCGGGCCAGGCCCGAGUUCUGACCGUCCGUGAGAAUGCAAGGCUGCAGGGGUUCCCGGAUUAUUAUCGCCUGGAUGGUCCCAUCAAGGAGCGGUACAUGCAAGUCGGCAACGCGGUGGCGGUCCCUGUGGCCCGGGCCUUGGGAUACUCUCUGGGCCUGGCGUACCUGCGCAUACACGACGGCAGCGAUGACCCGAUGCUGGUGCUGCCCGCCAACUUCUUUAGCCCGGGGCAGACCGAGGCCAUCGCGCCCGCAGACGAGGUUGCAGAGGAGUAG